UCCUCCGGGGCGCAGCAGUGGGGAAUAUUGGCCAAUGGGGGGAACCCUGAUCCAGCGACGCCGCGUGAGUGAAGCAGUAUUUCGGUAUGUAAAGCUCUAUCAGCAGGGAAGAAAGAAAUGACGGUACCUGAUUAAGAAGCCCCGGCUAACUACGUGCCAGCAGCCGCGGUAAUACGUAGGGGGCAAGCGUUAUCCGGAUUUACUGUGUGUACAGGGAGCGUAGACGGCGAUGCAAGUCUGAAGUGCAAGGCGGGGACCCAACCCCCGGACUGCUUUGGAAACUGUCUAGCUGGAGUGCAG
RNAcentral lists this ribosomal RNA (300 nucleotides) under uncultured bacterium. Its description in RNAcentral is "bacterial SSU rRNA". It matches the Rfam family "Bacterial small subunit ribosomal RNA", at positions 337 to 651 of the family's 1533-position model. The record is from RNAcentral.